This 94-nucleotide transfer RNA is filed under the name Gelatoporia subvermispora B. It matches the Rfam family "tRNA". Rfam says of the family: Transfer RNA (tRNA) molecules are approximately 80 nucleotides in length. Their secondary structure includes four short double-helical elements and three loops (D, anti-codon, and T loops). Lineage: Eukaryota; Fungi; Basidiomycota; Agaricomycetes; Polyporales; Gelatoporiaceae. The record is from Rfam by way of RNAcentral.
GCCCGCCUAGCUCAAUCGGAUAGAGCGUCAGACUCUUACCGUCUGUAAAGUGGGUGUAAUCUGAAGGCUGCGAGUUCGACCCUCGCGGUGGGCU